UUUUUCGUUUUUAAUUUUAUUUCCGUUCUCUCUCCUAUUAUCUCUUUUCUCUGACCAUCAUCUUCUUUGGCGAAUCAACCUUUGGCGAUCCAUUUCUCGUUUCUUCAAUCAACAUUGACGUCAAGAUGUAGCCUCCUUCGUUGGUGCAGAUUAUUUUUUUCGAUUUCACGUUUACCAGUGAGGCAUGUCUCUCCUUUUCGCUUAUUUGGGUGUAGGUUGCAAAAUGGAAUACUCUGGUGACUUCGUUGAUGAAAGCAAGGUAUGUCUGCUAUUCCCUUUUUCUAUUUUCCUUUCCAUUUCGUGUUUUCCCUUUCCCUUUUCCCAUUUUCCCUUUUCGCUUGAUCCUUUCCCUUUUUCUCUUUUUUUGUUUAUGUUUUUCUUUUUGGUGUUUUCUCUUUCAUUAUUUCAUUUUUGCAUUGUUAUGACAUGAUAGGUUUAUUUUUGAUGCAAUUGUGUGUCCAAAAUUCUUCCAAGACAAAGUUAAUUUCUGCUUAGAAAAGAAGAAUGACUCCGGAGUAGAGAAGCUAUAUUAAAAGACACCAUUUGGUUGGUUUUUAGAUUUGCAUGACAAUGUUAAGAUUGGUAGGAGUGUCUUGAAUGAGGUAUGUGUUAGAUAGGUUGACUCGAGGGGUGGAUUUUCUUUUGGAGAGAAAAUUGUAAAGUUUAAGGAAAUGGACGUGUACAAGCGCAUGAAGGAAGGACAAUGCGUACAUUACAAGAGUCGUGCACUAAGAACUUCCUACACUGGAUAUGGUCCAAAAAGGCAAUGAUAUGUGUAUUAAAUGUUUUUUUUAAAUGAGGUUGACAAUACUAAAUGAAGAUCAUUAUAAAGUUAACUAAAUGAAAAUUGAUUGCAAUAAUUAUUGGAAAUGCCAAUAUAUAUCAAGAUAUUUCGAAUAAGCAUUGUCAUUGAGUAAAAAGUUAAUGUGCAAUGUGAUUUGAAGUCUUGAUGAGGAAACUCACUCAUCCAAGGAAAAAAAAACAUGAAAAAUUCACUCAAAAACAAAGUCCAA
This 1013-nucleotide long non-coding RNA is filed under the name Vigna radiata. RNAcentral's name for it is "long non-coding RNA (VRAD_LNC004980)". The record is from RNAcentral. Lineage: Eukaryota; Viridiplantae; Streptophyta; Magnoliopsida; Fabales; Fabaceae.